AUUGAACGCUGGCGGCAGGCCUAACACAUGCAAGUCGAACGAGUGGCGGACGGGUGAGUAAUGUCUGGGAAACUGCCUGAUGGAGGGGGAUAACUACUGGAAACGGUAGCUAAUACCGCAUACCAUCGGAUGUGCCCAGAUGGGAUUAGCUAGUAGGUGGGGUAACGGCUCACCUAGGCAACGAUCCCUAGCUGGUCUGAGAGGAUGACCGGCCACACUGGAACUGAGACACGGGCCAGACUCCUACGGGAGGCAGCAGUAGGGAAUAUUGCACAAUGGGCGAAAGCCUGAUGCAGCCAUGCCGCGUGUAUGAAGAAGGCCUUCGGGUUGUAAAGUACUGUCAGCGGGGAGGCGGUACCCACAGAAGAAGCACCGGCUAACUCCGAGCCAGCAGCCGCGGUAAUUA
This 406-nucleotide ribosomal RNA is filed under the name uncultured bacterium. Its description in RNAcentral is "partial 16S ribosomal RNA". It matches the Rfam family "Bacterial small subunit ribosomal RNA", at positions 30 to 525 of the family's 1533-position model. The record is from RNAcentral.